CCAGCUGGUCAUGCAGGAGAAAGUCGAGCUUGCUUAAGCACUCAAUCAUCUCGAUCAUGUACAGUACAUGAUCGAUGAUUGACGCUCCUUCCCUCAUUCAAGUGUUGAAGAUGGCACAACUAGUCUUAUACCUCUCAACAUCGUUGGAUGUGCCAAAAGAUUUGUUUAACAUUUGCAACAUAUUCUGUGGCUGAGCAUUCUCGAAACGAUGGC
Molecule: long non-coding RNA, 213 nt
Filed under: Elaeis guineensis (African oil palm)
Lineage: Eukaryota; Viridiplantae; Streptophyta; Magnoliopsida; Arecales; Arecaceae
Description: long non-coding RNA (EGUI_LNC073454)
Source: RNAcentral